GGAGGCUUGAUUAAACGUGUAAUGAGGCCGGUCAGGUCAGGCUGAGUGAGGAAGAGGAGGCUUGAUUAAACGUGUAAUGAGGCCGUCAGGUCAGGCUGAGUGAUGAAGAGGAGGCUUGAUUAAACGUGUAAUGAGGCCGGUCAGGUCAGGCUGCGUGAUGAAGAGGAGGCUUGAUUAAACGUGUAAUGAGGCCGGUCAGGUCAGGCUGAGUGAGGAAGAGGAGGCUUGAUUAAACGUGUAAUGAGGCCGGUCAGGUCAGGCUGCGUGAUGAAGAGGAGGCUUGAUUAAACGUGUAAUGAGGCCGGUCAGGUCAGGCUGAGUGAUGAAGAGGAGGCUUGAUUAAACGUGUAAUGAGGCCGGUCAGGCUGAGUGAGGAAGAGGAGGCUUGAUUAAACGUGUAAUGAGGCCGGUCAGGUCAGGCUGCGUGAUGAAGAGGAGGCUUGAUUAAACGUGUAAUGAGGCCGGUCAGGUCAGGCUGAGUGAUGAAGAGGAGGCUUGAUUAAACGUGUAAUGAGGCCGGUCAGGUCAGGCUGCGUGAUGAAGAGGAGGCUUGAUUAAACGUGUAAUGAGGCCGGUCAGGUCAGGCUGAGUGAGGAAGAGGAGGCUUGAUUAAACGUGUAAUGAGGCCGUCAGGUCAGGCUGCGUGAGGAAGAGGAGGCUUGAUUAAACGUGUAAUGAGGCCGGUCAGGUCAGGCUGAGUGAGGAAGAGGAGGCUUGAUUAAACGUGUAAUGAGGCCGU
Pygocentrus nattereri (red-bellied piranha) is the source of this 739-nucleotide long non-coding RNA. RefSeq lists it as uncharacterized. The transcript has 2 exons. NCBI's taxonomy places the organism in Eukaryota, Metazoa, Chordata, Actinopteri, Characiformes, Serrasalmidae. The record is from RefSeq and is a predicted model, not a curated record.